GGGGUUGUAGCUCAGGGGUAGAGCUCUUGCCUAGCAUGUAUGAGGCACUGGGUUUGAUUCUCAGUACCACA
Molecule: transfer RNA, 71 nt
Filed under: Marmota monax (woodchuck)
Lineage: Eukaryota; Metazoa; Chordata; Mammalia; Rodentia; Sciuridae
Description: tRNA.Ala
Rfam family: tRNA
About the family: Transfer RNA (tRNA) molecules are approximately 80 nucleotides in length. Their secondary structure includes four short double-helical elements and three loops (D, anti-codon, and T loops).
Source: RNAcentral